GAUGAACGCUGGCGGCGUGCCUAAUACAUGCAAGUCGAGCGAACAGACGAGGAGCUUGCUCCUUUGGCGUUAGCGGCGGACGGGUGAGUAACACGUGGAUAACCUACCUAUAAGACUGGGAUAACUUCGGGAAACCGGAGCUAAUACCGGAUAACAUGUUGAACCGCAUGGUUCAACAGUGAAAGACGGUCUUGCUGUCACUUAUAGAUGGAUCCGCGCCGCAUUAGCUAGUUGGUAAGGUAACGGCUUGCCAAGGCAACGAUGCGUAGCCGACCUGAGAGGGUGAUCGGCCACACUGGAACUGAGACACGGUCCAGACUCCUACGGGAGGCAGCAGUAGGGAAUCUUCCGCAAUGGGCGAAAGCCUGACGGAGCAACGCCGCGUGAGUGAAGAAGGUCUUCGGAUCGUAAAACUCUGUUAUUAGGGAAGAACAAAUGUGUAAGUAACUAUGCACGUCUUGACGGUACCUAAUCAGAAAGCCACGGCUAACUACGUGCCAGCAGCCGCGGUAAUACGUAGGUGGCAAGCGUUAUCCGGAAUUAUUGGGCGUAAAGCGCGCGUAGGCGGUUUUUUAAGUCUGAUGUGAAAGCCCACGGCUCAACCGUGGAGGGUCAUUGGAAACUGGAAAACUUGAGUGCAGAAGAGGAAAGUGGAAUUCCAUGUGUAGCGGUGAAAUGCGCAGAGAUAUGGAGGAACACCAGUGGCGAAGGCGACUUUCUGGUCUGUAACUGACGCUGAUGUGCGAAAGCGUGGGGAUCAAACAGGAUUAGAUACCCUGGUAGUCCACGCCGUAAACGAUGAGUGCUAAGUGUUAGGGGGUUUCCGCCCCUUAGUGCUGCAGCUAACGCAUUAAGCACUCCGCCUGGGGAGUACGACCGCAAGGUUGAAACUCAAAGGAAUUGACGGGGACCCGCACAAGCGGUGGAGCAUGUGGUUUAAUUCGAAGCAACGCGAAGAACCUUACCAAAUCUUGACAUCCUCUGACCCCUCUAGAGAUAGAGUUUUCCCCUUCGGGGGACAGAGUGACAGGUGGUGCAUGGUUGUCGUCAGCUCGUGUCGUGAGAUGUUGGGUUAAGUCCCGCAACGAGCGCAACCCUUAAGCUUAGUUGCCAUCAUUAAGUUGGGCACUCUAAGUUGACUGCCGGUGACAAACCGGAGGAAGGUGGGGAUGACGUCAAAUCAUCAUGCCCCUUAUGAUUUGGGCUACACACGUGCUACAAUGGACAAUACAAAGGGUAGCGAAACCGCGAGGUCAAGCAAAUCCCAUAAAGUUGUUCUCAGUUCGGAUUGUAGUCUGCAACUCGACUACAUGAAGCUGGAAUCGCUAGUAAUCGUGGAUCAGCAUGCUACGGUGAAUACGUUCCCGGGUCU
This 1372-nucleotide ribosomal RNA is filed under the name uncultured bacterium. Its description in RNAcentral is "bacterial SSU rRNA". It matches the Rfam family "Bacterial small subunit ribosomal RNA", at positions 28 to 1381 of the family's 1533-position model. The record is from RNAcentral.